This 2239-nucleotide long non-coding RNA is filed under the name Chinchilla lanigera (long-tailed chinchilla). Its description in RNAcentral is "lncRNA (ENSCLAG00000028261.1)". Lineage: Eukaryota; Metazoa; Chordata; Mammalia; Rodentia; Chinchillidae. The record is from RNAcentral.
CCUGCAGUGCAGAAUCUGUGCCCGGAGGCUGGGCGAUGUGGGCAGGGGCCUGAUCCCCGCCAGCUCUCACUCCUGCCUCAAGGGAGCGAGUCGCUUCCAAGCCCCAGUGCCCAAGGCCAAGCGCAGAGGGGUGAGAGGUGGGCGUUGAGACAAGGAUUUCUGCGGGAGAGAAAGGCUGAGGGAAGGCGGAAGUGCAGGCCGCGCCAGCUGCAUCCCAUCUGCCCUGGGCAGCCGGCCAGGCAAGGCCUCACAGAGGAGCUGGUCAGAGGCUUCCGUCUUUCUGUCUGCACCCAUUGGGAGCCAGCUCUGCCCUGGUGCCAUCCAGGAACCCUGAGGACUGAUCUCUCCAACCUUGGUGGUAGGGACUCGAAUCUCCCCAGGCUCCAUGUGUCUUGGGGGCUGGUGCCCACUGGGCAGCGCUGCCACCUGGAGAGUUCCAGGCCCUGCAGUAGGAAUGCAGGGGAGAUGCAGGGCUCCUGGGUGGGCAUCGGGGCACCCAGGCCCCUCACGGACUCCAGCGGCCACCCCAGCCUCUGCCCUCCUCCCUCCUCUAGUACCUUCCCUUCCACGAGGAGGUUCUUCCCCACUCAAAACUCUGAUCUUCCUUGUACCCAAGGAUUCUGGAGGGUUCAGCCUCUUUCUCGCUUUGUGUCCCGCAUUCGAGGGCAGGCAAGAGGCUUGAAAGGAAAACUAAAUAUGGCAAAACCAUGGCUGGAGAUUUUGGGAAGCUGGAAAGCAGGGAGACGAGAGGGUGAGCCGCUGGGGCGCCAGUGUACCAUUUAUUUGCUGUGUGGCCACGGGCCAGUGCCUUCCUCGCUCUGAGCGUUUCCUCAUCUGUAAAUUAAGCCUAAAAUGCAGGCCUCCUAGACUUGCUUUGAGGAGUCCAGAAGCACUGGGUGUGAAUGCAUGCGACACCCAGGAAGCAGACAUACCUCACUCAGCCUCCUAUUUGAUGCUAUUACUGAUGGCGGCUUCUGGCCCUCAGGCUGGAGACCAGAUGAGGGGUGAGAUGACAUUUCAGCCCCUGGAGACUAGGGCCCAGGGUCCUUCCGGUUGUAGAUAAGAUCCAGAGCUGUGCUAGGCCUUGGGUCCUAUCGAAAUUCCCACGGGAAUCCCUGGCGGAAGAGCCGUCCCGGGCCCAAGCUUAUCUGCACUCCCGCGCGUCUGGGAAGUGGGGUCAAGUGCAGUUGUCUGGGUUGGUUUCCAGCAGGGAGGCCAAAGGCCGUGGACGUAGUCUGGACUCAGUCAUGCUGCCUGCCGGUCUGGGGAGGACGCCCGGGGGCCCGGAGGGGGAUCACUCAUUCCCAGCCCUACCCGUCUCGAGGGGGGCGGCCGCUCUUCUGGAAGACCCCUGAGAGCAGGCUGCAAACGUCAGGGCAGGAGGCGGCCCAGUGCCUUCUGCGCCAGCCCUUCCAGUGUCACCCGCUGUGCUUGCCCAAGGACCACCAUCCCGGAGGAGGGAGGAGUUGCGGCCCUGAGCUGCGGACACUCUAGUCUGAAGGGGACAGAGUCCUUGCCAGGGAGCCGCCCCUACUCUGCGGAGGGAGUAGUCUUCUGGAACCUGGAGAGAGCGUCUAUACAUCCUGUCCUCUCCCCUCCCCUCCCUUUCCUCUUCUCUCUUCUCCUCUGCUCCUUUCUUCUCUGCUCCAUCACAGCCAAGCCCAUGGCCUUGGAGACCCCGGGGUGCAACGGGAUCCCCAAAUAGGAGUGUUUUGCACCUGGGGUUCCCAUUACACAUUGUAGGCUGGGAGGUGGGCUUCGGAAGUGGAAGGCAGCUCGGACGUUAACUCCAGCUGGGGGAACUGAGGCCCACCAGCACACUGCAUGCUCCAGGGCUGGGGGUGGUGCAGAGAGGGGCUACAGAGCGGGUCCCCGGGGAGAGGGCGGUGGGCAGGCGGCAGGUGGCAGGGUUCUCCCUGGGUCAUGACAGGGCCCCUCCAGGCCCACUUCUCAGCCCUGCCCCCACGCCCUGGGGGGGGGCCAGGUUCGCGGGCAGCCCAGCGGGUGCCCAGGAGGGGGGCUGGGGCUCGGAGGAAGUGCUGAGUCGGCACUCAGAGCCUCCGCCGCCUCUCCUGCUCCAUUACUCAUCCCGAAGGGGCCGCCCUCCCUCUGCCCACCCAGGCCCGGCUCAGAAAUGCCCCCACCUCCCCUCCCCGGCGCUCCCCCCUCAGCUGGAAACUCUUAAGCAAAAAGGUCGUCAAGAUGAUUAAAUGCGAACAGAUUUUCAGCUCUUUUUCCA